UCCACGCCCUAAACGAUGGAUGCUAGUCGUUGGACGCAAGUUCAGUGACGCAGUUAACACGAUAAGCAUCCCGCCUGGGGAGUACGAUCGCAAGAUUAAAACUCAAGGGAAUAGACGGGGACCCGAACAAGUGGUGGAGCAUGUGGUUUAAUUCGAAAAUACGCGAAGAACCUUACCUGGGCUUGACAUACGAAGAAUCUUCCAGAGACGGAGGAGUGCCUGCUUGCAGGAGCUUUGAUACAGGUGCUGCACUGCUGUCGUCAGCUCGUGUCGUGAGAUGUUGGGUUAAGUCCCGCAACGAGCGCAACCCCUAUUAUUAGUUGCUAACGGCUAGGCCGAGCACUCUAAUGAGACUGCCUGGGUAACC
Molecule: ribosomal RNA, 367 nt
Filed under: uncultured bacterium
Lineage: Bacteria
Description: bacterial SSU rRNA
Rfam family: Bacterial small subunit ribosomal RNA
Source: RNAcentral